RNAcentral lists this transfer RNA (70 nucleotides) under Stegodyphus mimosarum. It matches the Rfam family "tRNA". From Rfam's summary of the family: Transfer RNA (tRNA) molecules are approximately 80 nucleotides in length. Their secondary structure includes four short double-helical elements and three loops (D, anti-codon, and T loops). Further hydrogen bonds mediate the characteristic L-shaped molecular structure. tRNAs have two regions of fundamental functional importance: the anti-codon, which is responsible for specific mRNA codon recognition, and the 3' end, to which the tRNAs corresponding amino acid is attached (by aminoacyl-tRNA synthetases). tRNAs cope with the degeneracy of the genetic code in two manners: having more than one tRNA (with a specific anti-codon) for a particular amino acid; and 'wobble' base-pairing, i.e. permitting non-standard base-pairing at the 3rd anti-codon position. Lineage: Eukaryota; Metazoa; Arthropoda; Arachnida; Araneae; Eresidae. The record is from Rfam by way of RNAcentral.
GACUUCGUGGUGUAACGGUAGCACACUCGGGGGAGAUCGAGAGGUCCAGGUUCGAAUCCCGGAGAAGGCA